Molecule: ribosomal RNA, 614 nt
Filed under: Salmonella enterica
Lineage: Bacteria; Pseudomonadati; Pseudomonadota; Gammaproteobacteria; Enterobacterales; Enterobacteriaceae
Description: partial 23S ribosomal RNA
Rfam family: Bacterial large subunit ribosomal RNA
Source: RNAcentral
AAUCCAUAGGUUAAUGAGGCGAACCGGGGGAACUGAAACAUCUAAGUACCCCGAGGAAAAGAAAUCAACCGAGAUUCCCCCAGUAGCGGCGAGCGAACGGGGAGGAGCCCAGAGCCUGAAUCAGCAUGUGUGUUAGUGGAAGCGUCUGGAAAGGCGCGCGAUACAGGGUGACAGCCCCGUACACAAAAGCGCAUGUGCUGUGAGCUCGAUGAGUAGGGCGGGACACGUGGUAUCCUGUCUGAAUAUGGGGGGACCAUCCUCCAAGGCUAAAUACUCCUGACUGACCGAUAGUGAACCAGUACCGUGAGGGAAAGGCGAAAAGAACCCCGGCGAGGGGAGUGAAAAAGAACCUGAAACCGUGUACGUACAAGCAGUGGGAGCACAGGUUUACCUGUGUGACUGCGUACCUUUUGUAUAAUGGGUCAGCGACUUAUAUUCUGUAGCAAGGUUAACCGAAUAGGGGAGCCGGAGGGAAACCGAGUCUUAAUUGGGCGUUAAGUUGCAGGGUAUAGACCCGAAACCCGGUGAUCUAGCCAUGGGCAGGUUGAAGGUUGGGUAACACUAACUGGAGGACCGAACCGACUAAUGUUGAAAAAUUAGCGGAUGACCUGUGG